This 2011-nucleotide long non-coding RNA is filed under the name Homo sapiens (human). RNAcentral describes it as "non-protein coding lnc-HNRNPA2B1-14:2". The record is from RNAcentral. Lineage: Eukaryota; Metazoa; Chordata; Mammalia; Primates; Hominidae.
CUUCUGUGACUUCCCAGGCCACGGAAAAGGUUCAGAAGUAGAUUCUGGUGCAGUUGGCUGUAAGUGGAACAGGACACACUGGCACAUCCUUUUCCCACCAAACCACAGAAAAACAUUUUUAAGUGAAGGUUGAAGAAAUGGCAAUUUACAGAUGCCAGAAGAAAGGAUAAAAAUCAAGGCAAGAUAAGAAAAAAGGAGGCUGAUGUUCUGCUGGUCCACUUGGUUUACUGGCUUCUCUGUCUGAUUGUGCCUAACUCUGACACUGUGCCUUCCCUCUAGACACUGUAGAUGAUGUUUAGUCCUAGCUCAAUCAGUCUCUCCCUUUGCACAUUUCCGUUACAACCCUGCUCAUGUGCUCAAGAUAUUGCUCCUGCUACUCUCCCCUCUCUUCUGCAUCAACAGUUCUUUCUCAUCUACUGGACAAUUCGCAUCAGCCUACUAUCAUACACAAAUACCCCCACCUUUAAAAACCCCUCCCUUGGUCCCACACUAGUCUUCAGAUUCCAUCCCAUUUUUUGCUCCCCUUGACAGCAAAAACCUCCAAAGAGUAUCUGUACUCAGUGUAUUUUCUCUUCACCCAUCAGCAAAAUUUGACUUAGUUACCAUCUCCUCCUGGAAACAGCUUCUUCACCUGGCAUCCAAGUACCUCUCUAUUCUCCUACCUCAUCAAGAACUUCUGCUUUGCUGAUUCUUCAUCCCCUUGAUAUCCAAACAUAGCAAUGUCCCAAGGCUCAGUUCUCAGGUCCACCAAGCACUCUCCCACUUCACAGCCCUUGUAUUUGCAGCCCUUUCUGCCUGUAAGCUCUCUCAACCCUCUUAUCCUCCUGACCCCAGGUCUCUUCAAAUAUUUACCAUCUCAGUUUUCUUUCUUAAUCUCUCUAUAUAAAAAACUACAUCAAAAUCUUUUUCCCUUAUCUUGCUUUAUUUUUUCUCCAUAGCAUUUAGCACCAGCUGAUAUAUUACCAUGUUUAUUUGUUUGCUGUUUGUCCUACUAGAAUGCUAGUUUUUUGAAGGCAAGGGCUCUGUCUGCUUGGUUCCUGCUGUUGGCCACUUCGUAACCCAGAUUCUGGCACAUAACAGACCCUUGCUACAUAUUUGUUGAAUAGCUGAACUCUUAGACACAAUAUCCUAAGACUUUGAUAGAGAUCUUACUUCUGAUAGAUUGUUCUUUCCUGCAACAAUACUGAUUCCUAUAUAAAUCUGGGGAAGGAAGAAAAGGUGACUGAUCACUUUUUACCUCUCAUCUUUUGCCAAGGUAAGGUUUUUUGUGGUUGUUAAAUCUGAAUAUAAUUAAAUUAAAAACUUUGGAUACCCGAGGCAGCUAACUUUGUUUAAAAACUUGCUAGUGGUAGAGAGAGAAACUUCUAAUCUCGAAAUCAAAUGAUCUAUUUUAGAACCAUGAAGCAAAGUCCCCUAAAUCUGUAAUAUGUGCAUUAAUACAACACACAUGGACACACACAAACAUGCAAACACAAGAAUGUCACCUAUAUUACACAAAUAAUAACAGGGAAACAAGUGGUUGAUACAGAUCAAGCCCAUAGAGAAAUUGAUCAAGCAAACUUUAGUCUGGGAAGGCUUUUUUUGUGGGGGGAAACUUUUUGAGUGUAAUGAAUUGGUAACAAAGGUAUGUAAGAUGUCUUGUCUGAAAACUCAGGAAGAGAAGGACUGGAGGCAGAGAAAUUCUGUAUGAUCAAAAUUCACACUACAGGAAGCCAAAAUUAGGUAUAAUAUAAUAAUGGAUCAUAACUCAUUGAAUAAAAUGAGUUGAAUAAAAGAAUCAAUGAGUGCACUCAAAUAUAAACAAAUAAAUGAAGGAAAAAGGAAAUCUUUCUUAUAGUAGAAUACAAAUAAUAAAUAUAAAAGGAGAAUGAUGAAUUAGAAAACCAUCAAUGGAUGCUUAAUUUAAGGAGUGAAAAUUUUAUGAGAAAUAAGAUACUUAAAGAGUCUCAAAGUAUCACUCUGCAGAUUACUUGUUAAUUACAAAAAGAAAAAUAAUAACACUACAGGAGAA